GACGAACGCUGGCGGCGUGCCUAAUACAUGCAAGUAGAACGCACAGUUUAUACCGUAGCUUGCUACACCAUAAACUGUGAGUUGCGAACGGGUGAGUAACGCGAAGGUAACCUGCCUGGUAGCGGGGGAUAACUAUUGGAAACGAUAGCUAAUACCGCAUAAUAUUGAUUAUUGCAUGAUAAUUGAUUGAAAGAUGCUAUUGCAUCACUACCAGAUGGACCUGCGUUGUAUUAGCUAGUAGGUGAGGUAACGGCUCACCUAGGCGACGAUACAUAGCCGACCUGAGAGGGUGAUCGGCCACACUGGGACUGAGACACGGCCCAGACUCCUACGGGAGGCAGCAGUAGGGAAUCUUCGGCAAUGGACGAAAGUCUGACCGAGCAACGCCGCGUGAGUGAAGAAGGUUUUCGGAUCGUAAAGCUCUGUUGUAAGAGAAGAACGGGUGUGAGAGUGGAAAGUUCACACUGUGACGGUAUCUUACCAGAAAGGGACGGCUAACUACGUG
Molecule: ribosomal RNA, 505 nt
Filed under: uncultured bacterium
Lineage: Bacteria
Description: partial 16S ribosomal RNA
Rfam family: Bacterial small subunit ribosomal RNA
Source: RNAcentral